UAGACCAAAUAUUCACCAUUUCCCUUACAACAAACAACCUGGAGCCACCUUUCUUCAAAGACAUCAAUGGCUGUUUAAGAUCAGUGAACACAACAGACCCAAUUCGUCGCCCGUUUUCCGUCGGGAUUCACCAGAAAUCAACCUCCCCAUCCUCUUCUCUUCAAUAACCCAGCAACGACCAUCCCAAACGACCCAUCUUCGACCUAUAAAACCAACGGCAGCAGCUCACACAAAUGACCCCUUCUCUUGAACGAAAAUGGCGGAAGCCCAGACCCCUCCCCUGCUUCAUUCUCACAUCUGACUCUUCACCCUCCCUCACUUCUCUGAAAAACGCAUACACACAGACUUAAAACGAGAAAGAGAGGAAGUUUGCACUUCAAAUUUUAGAUCUAGAAAACUUCAAAAGAAGAGAAAAAAAAUCGAAAAAAGAGAUUAAAAGACCGUUUAGAUUUUCUCUUCAUGGUUUAAUCAUUUCUGGGUUUUGAGGGCUGUUUGAGUUAUAAAUUUGAUGUUCGUCUGCUGAUUUUGUUAUUCCGACUCACUUUCGUCGAGUUUUUCUCGUCGAGUUUACAUUUUCGUAUUCAACAAAUCUUCAUGUAUAUAAAAAGAGGUCCGAAUUAGUUGGUUUGUCGCUGCUGAUUUUCUGCUGUAGAAACAUGGCUGAGUUCGUUUUUCAGUUUUCCGACCUUUAAAUUUUAUUUCCGGUGCUGUUUUCAAGGAUGUUCUCAUAUUACAAGCUCGCACAAACGCUGAAGUUAAACGAGAGUUGAGAGCAAAAUAGCAAGGUAUUUUGGAAGUAAUUCAUGUGUGAUUCAAGUGUGCGAACCUGAAACUACAUGAACCAGAUAGAAGAACCAGUUCCAAGUGUCUAUCUUUUAUCCUAAUUCAAUUGUAGUAGGGCUUUUGAGUUGUGCCUUUCAUCUUUCUCUAGAAGUAUUUGUACUACAUACUCUAAGUGUAUUGUUCAAGUUACAGUUAACUUGAAAUUAUCACAACAGUCUCAGGCUAGUUUCCAUAAAGGGUUAGAGGUAAUACUUAGGUUUAGAAGUGUUUUGUAAAUACCAUUUUGGCUUAGUGAUUUAGUGAAGUGUUGGGAAAAUCCUACUAGGUA
Molecule: long non-coding RNA, 1111 nt
Organism: Nicotiana tabacum (common tobacco)
Lineage: Eukaryota; Viridiplantae; Streptophyta; Magnoliopsida; Solanales; Solanaceae
Source: RefSeq, a predicted model, not a curated record